GGGAAUAAUUCUGUUAACAAAUUGAAUAGAGAAAUAAGGUAAAAUCAAAUAAUGAAGAACUAGACAGAGAAACAUAAUUUGUUUAAACAUAAUUUGUUUAAACAUAAAGUUCCCAUGAAGCCAGGAUUAGACCAACUAUAUUCUAUUGAAGAAAAAUGUUCCAAGAAUAACCAUUUGUGAAAACUGAAAACAAGGAUGUUAAGAU
Molecule: unclassified non-coding RNA, 205 nt
Filed under: Hevea brasiliensis (rubber tree)
Lineage: Eukaryota; Viridiplantae; Streptophyta; Magnoliopsida; Malpighiales; Euphorbiaceae
Source: RNAcentral